AUACGUAGGUGGCAAGCGUUGUCCGGAAUGCUUGGGCGUAAAGGGCGCGUAGGCGGCCCGGUAAGUCUGGAGUGAAAGCACUGUUUUUAAGAUGGGAAUUGCUUUGGAUACUGUCGGGCUUGAGUGCAGGAGAGGUAAGUGGAAUUCCCAGUGUAGCGGUGCACUGCGUAGAGAUUGGGAGGAACACCAGUGGCGAAGGUGACUUACUGGACUGUAACUGACGCUGAGGCGCGAAAGUGUGGGGAGCAAACAGGAUUAGAUACCCUGGUAGUCCACACUGUAAACGAUGAAUGCUAGGUGUAGGGGGUAUCGACCCCUUCUGUGCCGCAGUCAACACAAUAAGCAUUCCGCCUGGGGAGUACGGCCGCAAGGUUGAAACUCAAAUGAAUCGGCGGGG
RNAcentral lists this ribosomal RNA (397 nucleotides) under uncultured bacterium. RNAcentral describes it as "partial 16S ribosomal RNA". It matches the Rfam family "Bacterial small subunit ribosomal RNA", at positions 523 to 918 of the family's 1533-position model. The record is from RNAcentral.